Non-coding RNA from Salmo salar (Atlantic salmon), 54 nucleotides. The record is from Rfam. Lineage: Eukaryota; Metazoa; Chordata; Actinopteri; Salmoniformes; Salmonidae.
UGCAUUCACUACUGUAAGUCGCUCUGCAUAAGAGCAUCUGCUAAAUGACUCAAA